GACGAACGCUGGCGGCGUGCUUAACACAUGCAAGUCGAACGGAAAGGCCCUGCUUUUGUGGGGUGCUCGAGUGGCGAACGGGUGAGUAACACGUGAGUAACCUGCCCUUGACUUUGGGAUAACUUCAGGAAACUGGGGCUAAUACCGGAUAGGAGCUCCUGCUGCAUGGUGGGGGUUGGAAAGUUUCGGCGGUUGGGGAUGGACUCGCGGCUUAUCAGCUUGUUGGUGGGGUAGUGGCUUACCAAGGCUUUGACGGGUAGCCGGCCUGAGAGGUUGACCGGCCACAUUGGGACUGAGGUACGGCCCAGACUCCUACGGGAGGCAGCAGUGGGGAAUAUUGCACAAUGGGCGGAAGCCUGAUGCAGCAACGCCGCGUGCGGGAUGACGGCCUUCGGGUUGUAAACCGCUUUCGCCUGUGACGAAGCGUGAGUGACGGUAAUGGGUAAAGAAGCACCGGCUAACUACGUG
Molecule: ribosomal RNA, 468 nt
Filed under: uncultured bacterium
Lineage: Bacteria
Description: partial 16S ribosomal RNA
Rfam family: Bacterial small subunit ribosomal RNA
Source: RNAcentral